This is an RNA transcript of Diabrotica virgifera virgifera (western corn rootworm), 3043 nucleotides long. It is a transcript of the gene named dynamin, with no coding region annotated. The transcript is spliced from 16 exons. NCBI's taxonomy places the organism in Eukaryota, Metazoa, Arthropoda, Insecta, Coleoptera, Chrysomelidae. The record is from RefSeq and is a predicted model, not a curated record.
AAAACGGAAUUUUCUCUCAGCAACCGCCACUAUCUGUACAGAAAUUAAUCAAACUCGCGAGUUUGUUUUCCGUCCAUGAGUCAUUCAAAUCUCUGGUCGAUUUUCAUUCGAGACCGAGACAUUCGAGAGCAAGUCGUCGAUCAAGAAGCAUCGUUCGCGCGAUUCAAAUCAAAAUCAAAAGUGAUAAAAGUGCCUUGAACUUUCAAAAAGUGAUAGUGAUGGCGGGGAAUUCAGGCAUGGAACAGCUGAUCCCGGUGGUAAACAAACUCCAAGAUGCGUUUACUCAACUGGGAGUGCACUUAAGCCUCGAUUUACCACAGAUCGCGGUGGUGGGGGGACAAUCAGCUGGGAAGAGUUCCGUUUUGGAGAAUUUUGUAGGAAGAGACUUUUUACCGAGAGGAGCUGGUAUUGUUACCAGGCGGCCGUUAAUUCUACAACUGAUCAACUCAAAAUUUGAGUAUGGGGAAUUUUUGCACAAGAAGGGCAACAAAUAUAGCGAUUUUGAUGAGAUCAGAAAGGAAAUUGAAGCGGAGACAGAUCGAGUUACUGGUAGUAACAAGGGCAUCUCCACCAUACCCAUCAAUCUCAAAAUAUAUUCACCUCAUGUUCUUAACCUGACUCUGAUAGAUCUGCCGGGUAUGACCAAGGUGCCCAUAGGAGACCAACCCGUUGACAUCGAACAGCAGAUAAGGAACAUGAUUAUGCAGUUCAUCAAUAGAGAUUCCUGCCUUAUCUUGGCGGUCACGCCAGCAAACACAGAUCUGGCCAACUCGGAUGCUUUACAGAUCGCCAGAGAAGUGGAUCCUCAAGGAUAUCGCACCAUAGGUGUCAUAACCAAAUUAGAUAUAAUGGACGAAGGGACGGAUGCUAAGUAUAUUCUUGAGAACAAACUGUUGCCCUUAAGAAGAGGUUAUGUAGGUGUCAUAAACCGUUCACAAAGAGAUAUUGAUGGACAAAAGGAUAUAAAAUUAGCGCUGGAAGCUGAAAGAAAAUAUUUCUUGGGGCAUCCGUCCUAUACACAUAUAGCCGACAAAUUGGGUACUCCAUACCUACAAAAAGUGUUAAACGAGCAACUAACCAAUCACAUACGAAAUACUCUUCCUUCUUUACGAGAUAAUUUACAGAAACAGGUGAUUAUUCUGGAAAAGGAGCUUGGCGAUUUCAAGAACUUCUCUCCUGAUGAUCCAAGUAUGAAAUCAAAGGCUAUGCUUCAGAUGAUCCAGCAGUUCGCUCUAAGUUUCGAAAAAGUUCUCGAAGGCUCCAGAUCGGACGAUGUGAACACAACUGAGCUGUCGGGAGGCGCUAGAAUCAACUGUGUCUUUCACGAAAGAUUCCCGUUUGAAGUUGUCAAAAUGGAGUUCGACGAAAGCGAGCUGAGAAAGGAAAUAGCAAUCGCCAUUGCGAACAUUCAUGGAAUUAGGAUAGGUCUUUUUACGCCUGAUUUAGCAUUUGAUGCCAUAGUAAAAAAGCAAAUCUCUAGAUUGAAAGACCCUUGCUUGAAGUGUGUGGAUCUAGUCUCAACCGAGUUGUUGAAUGUUGUACACAACUGCUCAGAACAGAUGUCGAGGUUUCCGAGAUUAAGAGAAAUCGUUGAACGAGUUAUAACGAAUCACGUGAGAAAAAGAGAGCAAGAAUGUAGGGAUCAACUAUCGGUAUACAUUAACUGCCAACUUUCUUAUAUGAAUACAAAUCAUGAAGACUUUAUAGGAUUUGCCAAUGCUGAAUCACAAGCCAAGAAGACCAUACCUACCCACAACAAUCAUUUAGGCAACCAAGUGAUCCGAAAGGGGUACAUGACGCUGCAUAAUCUCAGUAUAAUUAAGGGUAGGAGCUUCUGGUACGUGUUGUCCUCGGAUAGUUUAGCUUGGUACCGAGACGAGACUGAAAAGGAGAUCCAGUACAUCCUACCCCUCAAUAAAUUGAAGUUAAGGGAUGUUGAGACUGGGUUUAUAAAUCGGAAACCGACUUUUGCGUUGUUCUACCCGCAUGGUUCUAAUGUUUAUAAGGAUUAUAAACAGCUAGAACUGAGCUGUAACUCUGUGGACGACAUGGAUUCCUGGAAAGCUUCUUUUUUGAGAGCGGGUGUCUAUCCUCAGAAACUUUUGAAUAACAACGAAGAAUCUGAUGACGAAAGUAUCGAUAUUCAAGAAGAUGUAGACCCUCAGCUUAAAAGACAAGUUGAAGUGAUAAGGAAUCUAGUAGAGAGCUACAUGUCUAUAGUAACCAAGGCCACCAAAGACUUAGUACCAAAGAUUAUUACACAUAUGAUCAUUAAGAACACCAAAAAGUAUGUUUUUGAAGAACUUCUAGUCAGCGUAUAUGCCCAAGAUGACCAGGUUGAAUUGUUAGAAGAAUCUCCAGAGGAAGUAAGGAAGCGAGAAGAGAAGAUGGCGACGUUCCAAGCAUGUAGAAUGGCUUUGGAUAUCAUAGGAGACUGUUCAAUGAAAUUUUCCGGUAGCGCUACCAGUACAGAAGAAGAAGCGGUUCAUUACAAACCAGCAGUGCCUAACAGGCCCACCGCCACCACCAAAAAAAGUUACAGACUGUCUACGCCCCCUCCAGUGUUCUCCAGGCCCGCCCCACCACCUCCUCCAGUUUAAUGCUCGCACAAUGUUCCAACUCUUCCAGUACAUAGAUUUUACUGCAUCAAUUAGUUCUACUCCAACAUCGAACUGUUCAAGCGCUUUCCAAAUGUGAUGUCUGGGUACCUUGUCAAAGGCUUUUUCCAUGUCUAUGAAACACAUAGCUUUAAGGCAUGCGUGCAGUGUCCUCGUGGCUUGUGCUUGUCUAGUGGUGCUUGAUCGUUGAAAUCUUGAUCUUAAUUCUCGUAAUAUUAAUAUUUCUGUAUUAAUAUUUUCAGGAAUUGUAAGCAGUAUUAUAUUUUUGAAUUCCGAUAAAAAAGAUUGAUAAAAUAUUGCCCAAGAGAUGUUACCAUAGUUUUGUAUGAUAUUUAAAAUGUACAAGUCAAUAUUUUUAUAAUAUUUAUAUGUAUCUAUUAUUUUUUGUAUAUUUAUCGAUAUUACUAAUAAAUUUGUAUACUUUG